Molecule: RNA transcript, 1176 nt
Organism: Salvia miltiorrhiza (redroot sage)
Lineage: Eukaryota; Viridiplantae; Streptophyta; Magnoliopsida; Lamiales; Lamiaceae
Exons: 9
Source: RefSeq, a predicted model, not a curated record
ACUUUUCACUACUAAAAUAAGACAAGAACAGAACGCAGGAAACAAAAUAAGAAACGAGUUGGUUUGGAAGAUUCAGUGAAAUAUGAGUAAGAAAAUUCCGGAGUUGGAGCCAUCAACAAGCAGGAAGCGCCCACGGCAUGAGGAGGCAGAGCCCCAAACAGAAAAGGAUGUUGAAAAUUCACCUUCUCUUUCUUUAGAGGACAAUUUCACAUUCAGUGAUACUUUGAUGGCGCUUCGGAUGAUGCGCGCUCAGUUUCCUCACAUUCAAAAGGUUUCAAUUCCACCUUUUGUCUUGCAGUCGCAGUUGUACAGCAGCAUAAAAAAUAGGACUGAAGUGGACAGGGAAAUAGAGUCUCUUAAGAGGGAAAGAGUGGUUCGGAUAUUUAAGUUAAACACUGGACAGGAUGAUCAUGCCAUAAUGUUUACAGAUGACUACAUUAAUCAGAUUGAACAUGUUGUGAGAAGGAUGGAAGAAAAGAACACAAAUAAUCUUGUAGUUUUUGAGUGGUUCAAGACUCAUGUCAUACAGUCCAAGCUUGACACCAGCAUUGGUCAUCAAGAGCUGUGGUCUUUUUUGUCGUUAGGGGGAAAGGUGAAAGAGGAACAUAUCUCUCAAUUAAUUAGUGCUGGCCUUCUUUUUCCUUCUAGAUUCGCCAACUUAUUGAUCAGAACAUGUAUUGGUUUUCAAUUCCAAAUAUUGGCUCAGUGCUCAAAGGUCUCUCACAGGGAAGGAAGGAGCUUUUGUCUCUUCUAAACCGUAGAAAAUAUAAGGAGAUGAUGAUGGCUUCUUUGGAGAUGAAGCGUCUGAGAUUUUCUCCUCUAGAUAUGAGAUUUCAUCUACGAGAUCUGAUUGGUUCGGGUCAACUCAAAAUCAGUCAGACGCCAAGUGGCUUGAUUGUACGAGUUGCUAAAGAUUGAACUAUGGUAAGAUUCUUAUGAUGACAUUCGGUUUUCCAGCAGGUCACCGCGAUUUUCUUGAGACGAAAGUUCCUUAGCAAGGCUGAAACCUCUGCAAGAUUGCUUCUCCCUCCGAAAAGGUGUGGCAGAUUUUUGAAUUGAAAAACAUUAAGAUCUAUCUCCAUUGUUUCGAGCUGUCUUGAUUUCUAGUUGUAGGCUGUAGACUUUGGUACAUCAUGAUUCUGUUAUCAAUUAAAAAUGGCCCUUUUUUUGAUUGUA